UUUAUUUUAGAAAUAUGGCUUGGACUACACCUAUUUUGCUGUUUGUUUUGGGCCUAAGUGCUCGCUGCUGCCACAUUACGUGCCCCGUAAUUGAUUGCAGGCCCUGAAUGGUCAAGAUAUGUAUCACAUAUGUAUCGAAUAUAUGGAAAAGCAUUUGUAAAAAUAAAAUGAAUAAACUUUGUGACCAUAAAAUAAAAAGAACAUAGCACACAGAAA
Scaptodrosophila lebanonensis is the source of this 216-nucleotide long non-coding RNA. RefSeq lists it as uncharacterized. The record is from RefSeq and is a predicted model, not a curated record. The transcript is spliced from 2 exons. Lineage: Eukaryota; Metazoa; Arthropoda; Insecta; Diptera; Drosophilidae.